UGUUUGAUACAAGGGGGAAAAAAAAGCCCAACAGCCUGCAGAAAGAUCAAUGAGAACGAAAAAACGAAGGAAAUUUAAGAUUUCGUCUUAUCAACAUCUCUGAGAGCCAAUAAUUCCAAGGGGGAAACCAAAAUCUAAGUUGGAGACUAGAUAACCGAGAAGCAAAAGGUAUAGUCUUAUUGGAAAGAAAGAGAUAAUCGAACAAAGGACAUUGAACGUUAAGAAGAGGGAAGAAAUUUCCUUACCACCUUUAUUUCCUUCUGUAUCCGGAUCGUCGAGUCGAUUACUGGUCUCCUUCUCUACCGAGAUGGUGAGCUCCUCAAUCUUCUUGAGUUCAGCCGUCUCGGCCUCCACUCCACUGCUGCUGCUGCUGCUGGU
Molecule: long non-coding RNA, 378 nt
Filed under: Phoenix dactylifera (date palm)
Lineage: Eukaryota; Viridiplantae; Streptophyta; Magnoliopsida; Arecales; Arecaceae
Description: long non-coding RNA (PDAC_LNC006084)
Source: RNAcentral